Long non-coding RNA from Cyprinodon variegatus (sheepshead minnow), 1124 nucleotides. RefSeq lists it as uncharacterized. The transcript has 5 exons. The record is from RefSeq and is a predicted model, not a curated record. NCBI's taxonomy places the organism in Eukaryota, Metazoa, Chordata, Actinopteri, Cyprinodontiformes, Cyprinodontidae.
GAGCGCAGAGGCGAGGCAGAGGAUGCUCCCUCUGACUGUCACCUGUGUGCGUCCCGGAUGUGUCUUUGCGUUCAGCGCGUGUUUUGCAGCGUAGGUCCUGUAGAGAGCAGUAGAUAGUUUUAAUAAGUGCGCCUCCAGUCUGCUUUACUGUACAGUACACAGUGCAGCGGAGGGAGGAGCGACCACGUACUGUUUCUUUUUUGGUUCUUUCCACCCCACACAUUCAGGCACUCUCGGUCGGUGUGGCUCAUCCAAGCGCUUCUGUAGGACAACAGAACAGGAAUCAAAGUCGGAAGCUUCGUCGGAAGGUUGGCAGGGAGUCCGUUUUUAAUCGGUACAAGGCUGAGCAGCAGCGGCCAGGAGGACUGUAGCUCCGGAGAGCGAGGAGGAGCAGCAGGAGGAGGAGGAGGAGGGGAGCCUUCCAGCCCUGCCGCUACACACUUUCAACCAGGAGGAACCCGGCUGACUUUUUCUCCCGCUUCGUUUCCGCCUCAUGACCCAAUUCCCAGGACAACGUGGGGUCCGCGCCGCGCUGGGGAAGCCGUAGGAUGAUUUCGCUGAGGCGUUUGAUGGAAUGACAGCUCAAAUAUAGAGGAACGGUUCUGGAGCGAAUACGGUUGACAGCCAAGAACAGAAACAAGGUGGACGUCACAACGCCGGAGGGCCGUGGAAAUCACUAACCGCACGCACGUACGCGUAGACUAUGAUUGGGCCUCACUGUGAUUGGGAAGAGUGCGGCUUCUGAGAAACAUCAAAGGGUGGAUUCCUGUUUUUCCGCUGUCUACCUAAGAGCGACAUCCACCUCCAGCCCUGGCUUCAGGGCCAGCAUAUUUACCCCUGUGGACACCCCCACCUCUUUUGUGUCCUAAAGCUUCAGAAACGUCUGCAAUCCUUCUGGGGGUCGACCCCCUGCCCACCAACAUCUACUGCCGCCCUCCCAGGUACUCCAGGGACGGGACUCUGCUACGUUUUACUGACAGACCCCUCCGGACCGUCGAAUGACAAGCGUGCUUCGGAGGGCGGGGCUUGCCUCAGUCUCUCAUGAUUGGCUGCUGGAUGGAAUUGAGGUGAAUGGAACACAUGCCCAAGGAGCAGGACUCUAACCCAUCAGAGGGAGAAGAGAA